UACGUAGGGGGCAAGCGUUGUCCGGAAUCAUUGGGCGUAAAGCGCGUGUAGGCGGCUAGGUAAGUCUGCUCUGAAAGCCCGGGGCUCAACCCCGGGAGGCGGGUGGAUACUGUCUAGCUCGAGUCCGGAAGAGGAGUGUGGAAUUCCUGGUGUAGCGGUGAAAUGCGCAGAUAUCAGGAGGAACACCGGUGGCGAAGGCGGGUCUCUGGGCAGUAACUGACGCUGAGGAGCGAAAGCGUGGGUAGCGAACAGG
This 253-nucleotide ribosomal RNA is filed under the name uncultured bacterium. Its description in RNAcentral is "partial 16S ribosomal RNA". It matches the Rfam family "Bacterial small subunit ribosomal RNA", at positions 524 to 776 of the family's 1533-position model. The record is from RNAcentral.